This 691-nucleotide ribosomal RNA is filed under the name Klebsiella aerogenes. RNAcentral's name for it is "partial 23S ribosomal RNA". It matches the Rfam family "Bacterial large subunit ribosomal RNA", at positions 2240 to 2925 of the family's 2925-position model. The record is from RNAcentral. Lineage: Bacteria; Pseudomonadati; Pseudomonadota; Gammaproteobacteria; Enterobacterales; Enterobacteriaceae.
CGGGGUUGCGGACAGUGUCUGGUGGGUAGUUUGACUGGGGCGGUCUCCUCCCAAAGAGUAACGGAGGAGCACGAAGGUUAGCUAAUCCUGGUCGGACAUCAGGAGGUUAGUGCAAUGGCAUAAGCUAGCUUGACUGCGAGCGUGACGGCGCGAGCAGGUGCGAAAGCAGGUCAUAGUGAUCCGGUGGUUCUGAAUGGAAGGGCCAUCGCUCAACGGAUAAAAGGUACUCCGGGGAUAACAGGCUGAUACCGCCCAAGAGUUCAUAUCGACGGCGGUGUUUGGCACCUCGAUGUCGGCUCAUCACAUCCUGGGGCUGAAGUAGGUCCCAAGGGUAUGGCUGUUCGCCAUUUAAAGUGGUACGCGAGCUGGGUUUAGAACGUCGUGAGACAGUUCGGUCCCUAUCUGCCGUGGGCGCUGGAGAAUUGAGGGGGGCUGCUCCUAGUACGAGAGGACCGGAGUGGACGCAUCACUGGUGUUCGGGUUGUCAUGCCAAUGGCAUUGCCCGGUAGCUAAAUGCGGAAGAGAUAAGUGCUGAAAGCAUCUAAGCACGAAACUUGCCCCGAGAUGAGUUCUCCCUGACUCCUUGAGAGUCCUGAAGGAACGUUAAAGACGAUGACGUUGAUAGGUCGGGUGUGUAAGCGUAGCGAUACGUUGAGCUAACCGAUACUAAUGAACCGUGAGGCUUAACCUU